This 506-nucleotide ribosomal RNA is filed under the name uncultured bacterium. Its description in RNAcentral is "partial 16S ribosomal RNA". It matches the Rfam family "Bacterial small subunit ribosomal RNA", at positions 30 to 523 of the family's 1533-position model. The record is from RNAcentral.
AUUGAACGCUGGCGGCAGGCCUAACACAUGCAAGUCGAACGGCAGCACAGAAGAGCUUGCUCUUUGGGUGGCGAGUGGCGGACGGGUGAGUAAUGUCUGGGAAACUGCCCGAUGGAGGGGGAUAACUACUGGAAACGGUAGCUAAUACCGCAUAACGUCGCGAGACCAAAGUGGGGGACCUUCGGGGCUCACACCAUCGGAUGUGCCCAGAUGGGAUUAGCUAGUAGGUGGGGUAAUGGCUCACCUAGGCGACGAUCCCUAGCUGGUCUGAGAGGAUGACCAGCUACACUGGAGCUGAGACACGGUCCAGACUCCUACGGGAGGCAGCAGUGGGGAAUAUUGCACAAUGGGCGCAAGCCUGAUGCAGCCAUGCCGCGUGUAUGAAGAAGGCCUUCGGGUUGUAAAGUACUUUCAGCGGGGAGGAAGGCGGUGAGGUUAAUAACCUUGCCGAUUGACGUUACCCGCGGAAGAAGCACCGGCUAACUCCGUGCCAGCCGCCGCAGUAA